This is a long non-coding RNA of Musa acuminata AAA Group (dessert banana), 913 nucleotides long. RefSeq lists it as uncharacterized. The record is from RefSeq and is a predicted model, not a curated record. Lineage: Eukaryota; Viridiplantae; Streptophyta; Magnoliopsida; Zingiberales; Musaceae. The transcript is spliced from 3 exons.
ACAAGAAGCGUACACCCAAGUGGCUCCCACACCGCGUGAAGUCACCGCGCUCCGCCCCCUCGACCCUCCUGCGCCUGCAAGCUCGAAGCGACCCCUCAGGUGACCGUCACCGCCAUCCAUCUCUUCGCCGCUGCAACCAGGAGGAGGAGAAGAGAAGAAAGAGGGUGUCGUUCUGCCACGCCCGCGAUUUCCUGUUCUUCAGCAUGCGUGGCACCCUCCGCUCCUUCGAUUCCCUCCACUUCGACAGAUACCCUCUCCGUGGCUUCGAGCGCGACGCCAUAAGAUAUUAGAAGAGAACUGAAGAUUGACCCUUUGUACUCCUUGAGACAGCACCUGUUGAUAAUGAAGUGUUCCAAAGACAGCACCUGAAGAUUCAUCCUGUGCAUUGCAACUUAAGACCAACUGUGUUUCUUCAUUUGAAUGUCACAUGUAAACCAUGAUUCACUCUUGUGUGAUAAGUUUAACGAAGAGUGUCCCCAGUGUCAUCAUCCUGAACUUGAAUACUAUACCAAACAGCUACGUUCAGCUGAUGAAGAGCAGAUGGUCUUUUACGACUGUCCGCAAUGCAGACACAAGUUUUCAAUCAACACAUAAUGGAACAUUUUUCUUUCAUUUUGGAUAUAAACAAUUUUCAUCGCUUUACAUUCUUUCUUUAUGUACCAUCUAAUUCUUCAUAUCUAAGAGAAUCUUUGCUAUCGCAUGGUAAUGGUGUUGUCUUUUAUGUCUUUUUUAUUUUUGUAUUUUACAGGUUAAUAGGUUUUCACACUUACAAGGAUCUUUGCUUUCGCAAAACAAUGGUGCUUUUUUCAUGCUGCUUCUUUUUGUUACACUGGGAGUAGCUUGUAACUCAUAUAUGGCGACCUUGCUGUAGCUUUGUAUCUCUUGUUGGUGAGCAAACCAUGCGUUGUGGCUA